RNAcentral lists this ribosomal RNA (2943 nucleotides) under Desulfobulbus sp. Tol-SR. Its description in RNAcentral is "Bacterial large subunit ribosomal RNA". It matches the Rfam family "Bacterial large subunit ribosomal RNA". Lineage: Bacteria; Pseudomonadati; Thermodesulfobacteriota; Desulfobulbia; Desulfobulbales; Desulfobulbaceae. The record is from Rfam by way of RNAcentral. RNAcentral also lists the same sequence under 1 other name.
GGAUAAGCUACUAAGAGCUAACGGCGGAUGCCUUGGCAUCGGGAGGCGAAGAAGGACGCGGCAAGCUGCGAUAAGCUUCGGGGAGCUGUUAACAGGCUUUGAUCCGGAGAUUUCCGAAUGGGGAAACCCGGCAGGAGUCAUAUCCUGUCAUUCAUUGCUGAAUACAUAGGUGAUGAAGGCGAACGCAGGGAACUGAAACAUCUAAGUACCUGCAGGAAAAGAAAUCAAUUGAGAUUCUGUGAGUAGCGGCGAGCGAAAGCGGAUUAGCCCAAACCGGACAUUGUCCGGGGUUGUAGGACCCCAACGCGGGAUGUAGGAUCGAUAGUGGAACAGUAUGGAAAGGCUGACCAUAGACGGUGAUAGUCCGGUACACGAAAUCGAUCCACACCCUAGGGAGUUCCUGAGUACCACGGGACACGUGAAACCCUGUGGGAAUCCGGGAGGACCAUCUUCCAAGGCUACAUACUACCCGAUGACCGAUAGUGAACGAGUACCGUGAGGGAAAGGUGAAAAGAACCCCGGGAGGGGAGUGAAAUAGAAACUGAAACCGUUAGCUUACAAGCAGUUGGAGCCCUAUGUCGCAAGACAGGGUGACAGCGUGCCUUUUGCAUAAUGAGUCAACGACUUACCCUAUGCAGCGAGGUUAAGCCGCGAGGUGGAGCCGCAGCGAAAGCGAGUCUUAACAGGGCGCUCAGUUGCAUGGGGUAGACCCGAAACCGGGUGAUCUAUCCAUGGCCAGGGUGAAGUCUCGGUAACACGAGAUGGAGGCCCGAACCGAUAUAGGUUGAAAACUGUUCGGAUGAGCUGUGGAUAGGAGUGAAAGGCUAAUCAAACUCGGUGAUAGCUGGUUUUCUCCGAAAUAUAUUUAGGUAUAGCCUCACAUAUGACUGACGGAGGUAGAGCACUGACAAGGCUAGGGGUCCCACCGGAUUACCAACCCUUUUCAAACUCCGAAUGCCGUCAAGUUCCUAGUGUGGGAGUCAGACUGUGGGAGAUAAGUUCCAUGGUCGAAAGGGAAAGAGCCCAGACCGUCAGCUAAGGUCCCGAAAUCUAUGCUAAGUGGGAAAGGAUGUGGAAUUGCGGAUACAACCAGGAGGUUGGCUUAGAAGCAGCAACCCUUCAAAGAUAGCGUAAUAGCUCACUGGUCUAGUGAUACCGCGCCUAAAAUUCAACGGGGCUAAGCAUAGUACCGAAGCUACGGAUCGAAAUUUAUUUCGAUGGUAGGAGAAUAUUGUGGCCGCCUGAGAAGGUACACCGAAAGGAGUGCUGGAGGUUCCACAAGAGCUUAUGUUGACACGAGUAGCGAUAAACAAGGUGAGAAACCUUGUCGCCGAAAGCCUAAGGUUUCCUGUAGUCAAGUUAAUCUGCUCAGGGUUAGUCGGCCCCUAAGGCGAGGCUGAGAAGCGUAGUCGAUGGGAAACAGGUUAAUAUUCCUGUACCGUGUGUACAAUGUUAUGGUAAGGGGGGACGAAGAAGGUAAGGCCAUCCGGGCGUUGGUUGUCCCGGUUCAAGCGUGUAGGUGGAGGACUUUGGCAAAUCCGGGUCCUUGAUAACACCGAGGCGUGACGACGAUGUCUUUCAGACAAUAAAGUGGCUGGGUCCAUGCUUCCAGGAAAAGCCUCGUAUCUAGUUGUACGUGCGACCGUACCGUAAACCGACACAGGUGGGCUGGUAGAGAAUACCAAGGCGCUUGAGAGAACUCUGGUUAAGGAACUCGGCAAAAUAGCACCGUAACUUCGGGAGAAGGUGUGCCUGCGGGGUGUAGUUAUUUACUAACGAAGCCUAAGCAGGUUGCAGUGAAAUGGGGGGAGCGACUGUUUACUAAAAACACAGGACUCUGCGAAGUCGAAAGACGAAGUAUAGGGUCUGACGCCUGCCCGGUGCCGGAAGGUUAAGGGGACAUGUCAGCGCAAGCGAAGCAUCGAACCGAAGCCCCGGUAAACGGCGGCCGUAACUAUAACGGUCCUAAGGUAGCGAAAUUCCUUGUCGGGUAAGUUCCGACCUGCACGAAUGGCGUAACGAUUUCCCCACUGUCUCAACCAGAGACUCAGCGAAACUGUAGCACCGGUGAAGAUGCCGGUUACCCGCAACAAGACAGAAAGACCCCGUGAACCUUUACUAUAGCUUGGCAUUGGUUUUUGAGGCAACAUGUGUAGGAUAGGUGGGAGGCUUUGAAGUGGGCACGCCAGUGUUCAUGGAGCCACCCUUGAAAUACCACCCUUGUUGCCUUAGGAAUCUAACUGCGGUCCGUUAUCCGGAUCCAGGACAUUGUCUGGUGGGUAGUUUGACUGGGGCGGUCGCCUCCCAAAGAGUAACGGAGGCGCGCGAUGGUUCCCUCAGGCUGAUUGGAAACCAGCCGUAGAGUGUAAAGGCAUAAGGGAGCUUGACUGCGAGAGAGACAUCUCGAGCAGGUACGAAAGUAGGUCUUAGUGAUCCGGCGAUUCCGCAUGGAAGGGUCGUCGCUCAACGGAUAAAAGGUACUCCGGGGAUAACAGGCUUAUCUCCCCCAAGAGUCCAUAUCGACGGGGAGGUUUGGCACCUCGAUGUCGGCUCAUCACAUCCUGGGGCUGGAGCAGGUCCCAAGGGUUUGGCUGUUCGCCAAUUAAAGUGGUACGUGAGCUGGGUUUAAAACGUCGUGAGACAGUUUGGUCCUUAUCUGUUGCGGGCGCAGGAUAUUUGAGGAGAUCUUUCCCUAGUACGAGAGGACCGGGAUGGACGAACCUAUGGUGUACCAGUUGUUCCGCCAGGGGCAUCGCUGGGUAGCUAAGUUCGGAAGGGAUAACCGCUGAAAGCAUCUAAGCGGGAAACCCACUCCAAGAUGAGAUAUCCCAUGGUGUAAACCAUCUGAAGGCUCGUUGGAGACUACAACGUUGAUAGGUCGGGUGUGGAAGUGUGGCAACACAUGGAGCUUACCGAUACUAAUCGGCCGUGCGGCUUAUCCAU